GGUCUUAUAUUCAAAAAUGAUUUUAAAUUGCAAAUUUAAAGGUGAGGGUUCUCUAAGGCUU
RNAcentral lists this transfer RNA (61 nucleotides) under Coomaniella copipes. RNAcentral describes it as "tRNA-Cys". The record is from RNAcentral. RNAcentral also lists the same sequence under 1 other name. Lineage: Eukaryota; Metazoa; Arthropoda; Insecta; Coleoptera; Buprestidae.